Molecule: transfer RNA, 69 nt
Filed under: Dendropsophus elianeae
Lineage: Eukaryota; Metazoa; Chordata; Amphibia; Anura; Hylidae
Description: tRNA-Val
Rfam family: tRNA
About the family: Transfer RNA (tRNA) molecules are approximately 80 nucleotides in length. Their secondary structure includes four short double-helical elements and three loops (D, anti-codon, and T loops). Further hydrogen bonds mediate the characteristic L-shaped molecular structure. tRNAs have two regions of fundamental functional importance: the anti-codon, which is responsible for specific mRNA codon recognition, and the 3' end, to which the tRNAs corresponding amino acid is attached (by aminoacyl-tRNA synthetases). tRNAs cope with the degeneracy of the genetic code in two manners: having more than one tRNA (with a specific anti-codon) for a particular amino acid; and 'wobble' base-pairing, i.e. permitting non-standard base-pairing at the 3rd anti-codon position.
Source: RNAcentral
CAACAUGUAGCUUAACUAAAGCAUCUCGCUUACACCGAGAAAAUAUCUGUGAAAUCCAGAUCAUUUUGA